Metopolophium dirhodum (rose-grain aphid) is the source of this 4304-nucleotide long non-coding RNA. RefSeq lists it as uncharacterized. The record is from RefSeq and is a predicted model, not a curated record. The transcript has 11 exons. NCBI's taxonomy places the organism in Eukaryota, Metazoa, Arthropoda, Insecta, Hemiptera, Aphididae.
UUGUAUUAUACUUUGUGACCGUGAUCAUGAUUGGUUAUAUGAUAAUGGUACUGAGAUAAGGGGAACUCCUAUACUUAUUUUAAUAAAUUAAAUUGAACUUCUUCACAAUGCAUAUUAAAUGGGGUUCAAUUCAUUGAAGAAUUUAUUUCAAAAAUUAAUCAUUAAAAAUGGUAAAACUACUCAACAGCAAUGUCAAGCCACGUCUGUGGCUACUCAAGAAACACCUGAUAGUGGUCCAGUAUUUGAUCCAAGUAAUGUUUAUAAAAUACUACCGGCUUUUGAAGAAGGACGCCAAGAAGAUGCUGAAGAGUUUAUGUGUUAUCUUCUUAAUAGAAUUAACAAUGAAAUGAUUGAUCUAAUUGAAAUGAGCAAAUCUAACAUAAACAAUGAUGAAACGCAAGCUGAAGUAGAUGUUAUCAAUAAUAAUAACAAAAGGAAGGAAGUUAACGGUAAACAUAAAAUGGUGACCAGAAGAACAGUUACGGAAAAAGACUCCAUUGUCUGAGAUAUUCCGUGGCCAGCUACGUACUCACACAGUGAUAAAUGGUGAAAAUAAACCGACUAAAAAUAUUGAACCUUUCUUCACACUUAAGCUAGAUAUUGUGAAAGCAAAAUCUAUUCUGGAAGUGCUAGGACAUGCUAGUCAAUAAAGACACACUCAAAGGAUUAACUUGUCCGAAAACCGACCGUGAACUAUAUGCGUACCAACGAGUUACUAUUGAUGAGUUACCUAAGGUCUUAUUAUUGCAUCUUAAAUGUUUUGAAUACAAGUAACAAAAACUGACUAAAAUUGUAAAAAGCGUGGAGUUCUUUGUUGAUCUCAAAAUUGAACCUAGUAAGUGCUCAUCAUAUUACUUAAGACACAAAUUCUAUAUUUCUAUUUUCUUCAAAUCUAUUUGUACAUUAUAAGAUUUGUUUUUGAAAUUUGGGUACAUGAAUUUGACUCUUGAGACUAGCAUUUGAGGAAAUGUAUAUUCAAAAGCUUAGUGUAGUGUCAUACAAAUAACGUUAGUUUCAUAAUUAUUAUUACAUUAAGUAUGAAGUGCCCUGCCCCUGUCCACUUUUAGUUUUAUAUUGAUACUUAACUAGUGCACUAAAAUGGAAAUAAUAAUUUUAACACCGACUUCCUUAAUUUAUGCGCACAUUUUACAUAAUUAUCUUAAAAAAUAAAAAUACGACAUUUUUAACUAACUAUUAUUAUAGAUGUAAAUAGCAUUUUUAAGAAUUUUGGCCAUUAAAAUUGUAUAUUCCGACAAUGUUAAACACAUGGAUUCAUAAAACUGGAGGGCUAAAUAAUUUUUUUUUAUAAUAAUACAAUCUGUAAAAAAUACAUUCAGUACCUAUUUGAUUAGAUAGGUAGUAUCGAAUAGGUAAUUAAUUUACUUUCUGUAUUAUCUAGAGUAGCCUGAUUUAUCUGAUAUAUUAUCAUAGGACGCAAACCCUUUAUAAAUUAAAUGUACCUACGUAUUAAACUAAAUAGUUUGUUGAUUUAAAUCAACUUUGAACUUAUUAUAGGAGUAUUAUUGAAGUUAUUUUAUUGAUGGAUUUUAAAACUUAUAGCAAAUUAAAAUGAAUCAAAUGUAUAUAAUAUACAUAUUAUAUUCCGUCAUUGUUUUAAACAUUUAAUUUUGUAGUUCUUAUAACUUCUGUUCAAGUUGAACAUUUUUAAUCAAGGUUUGGAGGGAAGGAAGACAUCGUUUUUAAAAUGUGGGAUAUAUUUUUACACAUAAACAUAAUAGUAGUCAAAAGUUACAUGAAAUAUGAUUAGAAAAUAGAUUGUAAAUUAUUAUACAGUACAAAAUACAACAUUAUUGAAUUAAAAUUAGCUGUUAAAAUAAUAAAUAUUAUAUUUAUACCUUUGCUUUAUUAUAUUUUUAUUAGCUACAACUAUAUGUGGUUAUUUGAUUUUAAGUAAUAUUUUAGUUACAUUUUAUAGGUAUUUUUAAAGCGGAAAUGUUUUGUCUUACGUUUUAUUUUAAGAUUUGUAUAUAAUUUACUAGAAGAAAAUCCUUAUCUUUCUAAUCCUAGGCUUUCAAUACAAAUCAAUUAUGUAAAAUUUGUUGUACAACCAGUUAGGUUAGGUUUAAUUAAGAUGUAACCACAUGGAAACAAUAUUUAUAUCUGUAGUUGAUAAGUAUGGUCGUGAUUUUUAUCCAGACAACUUACGAAAACUUAUCUAAUCCGAAACUUUUAUAAUUGAUAUCCUAUAAGACUUAUUUUACCAUUCAAACCGUGCAGUCUGCAAUGCCGCAUUAGAGGUAAUAUAAGUUAUUGAAAUAAUAAUUACAUAGACUUUAGAAUAUUCAGCAACCUAUUAGUAAUUAUAAUUUGACGUUUGAUUAGAUUUAUGUAAGACGUAAUUGCAUAUAUGGUUUUACAUGUUUGCAACAUUUGGAAUUGUCUGAAGAAAUACCAUUUCUUUUGCCUUCUUCUCAUCCAAACCAUCAACAAAAUAAGAUCAACUCUAGAGCUGAUGGUUCUGAAAUAUUGAAUUGCUAACCAAAACUCCAUUGCCGUAUGUCCCAACUUAUCAAAGAACAGGUUGUAUGGCAGCAUUUGAAUCAUUUACUCUUAUCUAUACUUCUCCUGUAUAUGUUUCACCGAGAAUUUAAAAAUGCCCUCAAAAGUGAAAGUGAAUGUAGACUAAGCUCAUCCUUUAAUGUAAGCUUGUCUCUUAGAGACCAAUGUUCCCCAGACUAAGAGAACGUUGAGGUAAUUUAGUAUAGUGUCAUACAAAUAAUGUUAGUUUAAUAAUUAUUAUUACAUUAAGUAUGAAGUACCCUGCCCCUGUCCACUUUUAGUCUACUUAUAAUUUUUUAUUCAUACUCAACUAGUGUACUUAAGUGGAAAAUCAAAACUAUUAUCUGACAGUUUGCAUAUACUAAACAACAAUAUUAUAUGGUCAGAAUAACGAAAAUUACAUCUUUCAGUAUGUGUGUUUAUAUUGUAUUUAAAUAAUAAUAAACAUUAACAUUUACACAGUAAAAAAUUUAAAUAAUGAAACUUAAUAGAUAUAAUCUUUAUUUCAAGUAUAAUAUAUUAUAGCAACAUUAACUAAUUUAAUUAAACAUUUGAUUAAAAAUGUUUUUUAAUGCAGGGCUCAUAUCAAAAAAUUCCAAGAUUGACAUGAAGACUAGACAGUAUAAACUCUUUGCAGUUGUUUAUCAUGAUGGUUACGGUUUGAUGACGCGUCAGUAUGUUUUGUCACCAACAAAGAAGUAUGUCAGCCAAAACCCCCGUGUAUGCCGUAUUUGCUGUACUACAGAAGAAAUGACACAAUUGCUGCACUCUCUGCGUUAGAUAAUAAAGGCAGAUAGUUUGUUAUUUUUACAGACAUUUUGCUAUUAUGUCCAAUAAGAACUUGGCAAUCAAUAAAAAACCCAUACCUUACCAAUAUAAAAAGAAAGCGGAUUGAACUAUAAUACCUAUCUAAUGCAUGACACUAUUAUUGCUAUUUAAGACACUGGAAGAUGAAACUGGUAAGAUACAUGGAGAAUUUUGUCAACAAUCUAUACAACCUCUACAGAAAGUAUCAAUCUGGAGAAUCUCUUUCUUGAUUUUGAAGAAUCUUAUCUGUGGGAUAACAACCAAGCUGUAGUACAAUGGUUGACGAGUCAAUUAGAUGAAUUCGAUGACAUAGUUGUAGCUGAUUUGUUGAUUGGUGACAACAUUUAGAGUGUUAGGAAAGAUGCAGUUAUAAAUCAAGUCAAAUCUACAAUAAAUGACAUACCUGGAGUUACAUCAGACAUAAACAUGGGUAUGUUCCAAAGCCUUUCGGAAAUGCAACGUUUCUACUUGAUUUAUAACUAACCCAGGCAACAAGCAUUGGAAAUGUGAAAUUAAAGAUUUGAUUACCUUUUACUAUAAGCAUUUAUUGUUGUUUAUUAUUAAACAAAAAUAUAAAUAAUUGUACUCUGGGACAUUUACGUACAAAUUAUGUUUACAAUACUACAUUGUACUAUACAUAAUGAAUAUGACGUCUGUGUGUUUGUGUUACUUUAAAAUAAAUAUUUUAGUUAUUUCUGUAUUGUACAAUUGAUGAAAAACAAAAUUAAUAUUGUUAACUUUCAGAUUUCAUACAUUGCUCAUAAUUUUAAUUUUAUUAUAAACAAAUAAUUACUGUCAACAGUUAUAUUAUAUAGUUUGCAAACAAAUAAUAACCAUAUUAAUACGACACUUGUUGAGGUGUAGUUUGGAACUAAUUGCACCAUUAUCGUUCUUAUUAUUAUUUAGUUAAAAAUACUCAAUUUUAAUGUUGACUUACAUGACAAAUUCAUGAAUGGGGACAUUGUAAUUUAAAUUUA